Molecule: long non-coding RNA, 273 nt
Organism: Bubalus bubalis (water buffalo)
Lineage: Eukaryota; Metazoa; Chordata; Mammalia; Artiodactyla; Bovidae
Exons: 2
Source: RefSeq, a predicted model, not a curated record
AGAUGAUGAGAGAAGGGGGAAAUGAUCUACAAACUUCAAAUCCAGUUUACAGAUGCAAAACCUGAAGCCCAGAGAGGAGAGAAGGCUUGCCCAAGUGCCUGCUAUGAAGAAAAAGACUUUACGAUGUCCCUUUCAGACAGAGGUUCCAGAGUGUCUGGAGACAUCUUUGGUUUUCACAUCUGAGAUUGCUACUGGCAUCUAGUGAGAAGAAAUGAAGGUUGCUGCAAGACAUCUAUCAACGUACGGGACACCCUAAAUGUCACUAAUGCCAAA